This 465-nucleotide ribosomal RNA is filed under the name uncultured bacterium. RNAcentral describes it as "bacterial SSU rRNA". It matches the Rfam family "Bacterial small subunit ribosomal RNA", at positions 329 to 792 of the family's 1533-position model. The record is from RNAcentral.
CUCCAGACUCCUACGGGAGGCAGCAGUGAGGAAUAUUGGUCAAUGGCCGAGAGGCUGAACCAGCCAAGUCGCGUGAGGGAAGACGGCCCUACGGGUUGUAAACCUCUUUUGUCGGGGAGCAAAGCGAACCACGUGUGGUUCAUUGAGAGUACCCGAAGAAAAAGCAUCGGCUAACUCCGUGCCAGCAGCCGCGGUAAUACGGAGGAUGCGAGCGUUAUCCGGAUUUAUUGGGUUUAAAGGGUGCGCAGGCGGAGGCACAAGGCAGCGGUAAAACCGGGGGGCUCAACCCCGCUCCGCCGUUGAAACUGUGUCCCUUGAGUGCGCGAAGGGUAGGCGGAAUGCGUGGUGUAGCGGUGAAAUGCAUAGAUAUCACGCAGAACUCCGAUUGCGAAGGCAGCAUACCGGCGCUCAACUGACGCUCAUGCACGAAAGUGUGGGUAUCGAACAGGAUUAGAUACCCGAGUA